RNAcentral lists this ribosomal RNA (469 nucleotides) under uncultured bacterium. Its description in RNAcentral is "partial 16S ribosomal RNA". It matches the Rfam family "Bacterial small subunit ribosomal RNA", at positions 28 to 508 of the family's 1533-position model. The record is from RNAcentral.
GACGAACGCUGGCGGCGUGCUUAACACAUGCAAGUCGAACGGAAAGGCCCUGCUUUUGUGGGGUGCUCGAGUGGCGAACGGGUGAGUAACACGUGAGUAACCUGCCCUUGACUUUGGGAUAACUUCAGGAAACUGGGGCUAAUACCGGAUAGGAGCUCCUGCUGCAUGGUGGGGGUUGGAAAGUUUCGGCGGUUGGGGAUGGACUCGCGGCUUAUCAGCUUGUUGGUGGGGUAGUGGCCUACCAAGGCUUUGACGGGUAGCCGGCCUGAGAGGGUGACCGGCCACAUUGGGACUGAGAUACGGCCCAGACUCCGACGGGAGGCAGCAGUGGGGAAUAUUGCACAAUGGGCGGAAGCCUGAUGCAGCAACGCCGCGUGCGGGAUGACGGCCUUCGGGUUGGAAACCGCUUUCGCCUGUGACGAAGCGUGAGUGACGGUAAUGGGUAAAGAAGCACCGGCUAACUACGUGC